This is a non-coding RNA of Armillaria nabsnona, 97 nucleotides long. NCBI's taxonomy places the organism in Eukaryota, Fungi, Basidiomycota, Agaricomycetes, Agaricales, Physalacriaceae. The record is from the annotation of a GenBank genome assembly.
UCUCUGGUAGUGUAUCGGUUAGUGCAUGUGCCUGUCAUACACAAAUAGGCCGCUCAGCGGCACACGCGAAAGCUGGGUUCAACUCCCAGCCAGAGAG